This 447-nucleotide ribosomal RNA is filed under the name uncultured bacterium. RNAcentral describes it as "partial 16S ribosomal RNA". It matches the Rfam family "Bacterial small subunit ribosomal RNA", at positions 29 to 523 of the family's 1533-position model. The record is from RNAcentral.
AACGAACGCUGGCGGCAGGCUUAACAUAUGCAAGUCGAACGCCCCGCAAGGGGAGUGGCAGACGGGUGAGUAACGCGUGGGAAUCUACCCUGAUCUGCGGGAUAGCUCCGGGAAACUGGAAUUAAUACCGCAUAUGUCCUGAGGGACAAAGAUUGAUCGGUUCAGGAUGAGCCCGCGUCCGAUUAGCUAGUUGGUGGGGUAAAGGCCUACCAAGGCGACGAUCGGUAGCUGGUCUAAGAGGAUGAUCGGCCACAUUGGGACUGAGACACGGCCCAAACUCCUACGGGAGGCAGCAGUGGGGAAUAUUGGACAAUGGGCGCAAGCCUGAACCAGCCAUGCCGCGUGAGUGAUGAAGGUCUUAGGAUUGUAAAGCUCUUUCACCGGGGACGAUAAUGACGGUACCCGGAGAAGAAGCCCCGGCUAACUUCGUGCCAGCAGCCGCCGUAA